UUAAAGUUUUAUUCUUGCUUUGUGUUAUAUUUAUAUAUUUUGUAAAUGCGGAUAAUACGUAGAUCAUUUUUCUGGCAUUAUUUAAUAUUAUUUAAAUAAUUUUUAAUGUAAUAGAAAUAUAUUUUAUGAAUAGUGAAGAUUGUGCCAGCAUCUGCGGUUAUACAAUCAUUUUUAUAUAACAAUAUUAAAAUUUUAAUUUUUUGAUUUUUAUUUUUGUUAAAUUUAUAAUUUUAGGUAAAAUUAAUUUAUACAGUUAAGGAAUUUAUUUUAUUUAUUUAAAGAAAUUAAUUUAAUAAACUAGGAUUAGAUACCCUAUUAUAAUUAAUGUAAUUAAAGUUUUGAGUAGUAUAUGAUUUGGACAGGAAACUUAAAGAAUUUGGCGGUGUAUAUUCUGAUUAGAGGAAUAUGAUUUUUAAUUGAUAACCCACAAUUAUCUUACUUAAAUUUAUUUAUUUUGUAUACCUCCGUCUUAAAAAGAUUUUUUAAAAUAUUUUUUUUGUUUUAUAGGUUGAAAAAAGUCAGGUCAAGGUGCAGAUUAUGUUUAAGUUAAAUUGUAUUACAAUAAAUGUAUUUUUGGAUCUUUAUCAAAUAAAUAAAGUUAAAUUGGAUUUAUAAGUAAAUAAUCUUUAUAAUAGUUUAUUGAAUUAUGUUAAUAUACAUGUACAUAUUGCCCGUCAUUCUCUUUCUAUUUAGAGACAAGUCGAAACAAAGUAGAUUUACUGGAAAGUGUAUCUGGAUUA
Molecule: non-coding RNA, 740 nt
Filed under: Amphigerontia montivaga
Lineage: Eukaryota; Metazoa; Arthropoda; Insecta; Psocodea; Psocidae
Source: RNAcentral